ACCGCGAGCAGGUGUAGACGCGGGCGGGUUCUGGACGCGGAAAGUUUGCCAGAGCGCGCUGAGCGGGCUGGCUGGGAGGACGGGUCUGGGCGUAGGCGGAGCCGCGCCUCCGAGGGGCGAGGCUCACAUCUGGGGCGGGGACGGGACCCACCUGUGGGGUCUCAGUCGCCCCCCCCCCAGGGCAGAAGCUCCUUGGGCGAACUCCAAACUCCAGCCUCAGCGGCUGGAAUUCGGGUGCCCCCUUCCUCGGGAGCUGCAGAAGCUGCAGCUGAGGCGGGAGAGGGAUUUGGGGCGACAGAGCGAGACCAGAGGGGGCUUAUUCUGAGUCUUCUAGACGGGAUUACCAAGCGCUCACUCCCCCGGGGAAGCCUGAGGAGUCUCCACCUCACUUGUGAGGAAGCUGAGGGGCGGAGAGGCCAAUUUGGCACCCGUCCCACGCUGGUAAUAAGACCAGGGGACUCCAACCCCAUUUGUCCUGGCUCCUCUUCUCCUUCCACCUCCGCCUCAGUGAGGAGAAAGGGUGCUAGCCAUGGGGGUAGUGCAGGUGAGACCUGGGGCUGGGAUUCAGGGAAGCCCUGGAUUGAGACCCUUGGAUCUGCUGGGGGCGAAUCCCACUGCCUCUCUGUGGCUCCAGGUGACCCCGCAGCACUGGGUGAGAGAAUGAACGCAGGAGGGAAGCUGGUGGCAGAGAGUACUGGGCAGAGGGUGCUAGUGCCCACCUGCUUUGUGCCCAGGGGUGCUGUGCCUAGAGCGCUUCGGGUGGGGCAGAGUAUUUAUGCCACACUCUCUCCUCUAGGGGAAAGAAGACAGCCUACCACAGAAUCUGCCACAGGACAAGGGCAGAAGGUUUUCCCUUGGCUGGAGGAGAGACCCGCAUUUCUAGGGAGGUUCUUGGGGAGGCUCAGCUUCAUCUCCCAUCACCUUCUGUCCCUUUGCCCCCGUUCCUACUCCCACAUCCUCCUGUCCUGGGAUUUCUCCCACUACGGGGCCUUUUGCACAUGUCGUUUAUUCUUUUGA
RNAcentral lists this long non-coding RNA (1017 nucleotides) under Papio anubis (olive baboon). Its description in RNAcentral is "lncRNA (ENSPANG00000043482.1)". Lineage: Eukaryota; Metazoa; Chordata; Mammalia; Primates; Cercopithecidae. The record is from RNAcentral.